AGAGUUUGAUCCUGGCUCAGAUUGAACGCUGGCGGCAUGCCUUACACAUGCAAGUCGAACGGCAGCGCGGACUUCGGUCUGGCGGCGAGUGGCGAACGGGUGAGUAAUGCAUCGGAACGUGCCUUUCAGUGGGGGAUAACGUAGCGAAAGUUACGCUAAUACCGCAUAUUCUGUGAGCAGGAAAGCAGGGGAUCGCAAGACCUUGCGCUGAUGGAGCGGCCGAUGUCAGAUUAGCUAGUUGGUGGGGUAAAAGCUCACCAAGGCGACGAUCUGUAGCGGGUCUUAGAGGAUGAUCCGCCACACUGGAACUGAGACACGGUCCAGACUCCUACGGGAGGCAGCAGUGGGGAAUUUUGGACAAUGGGCGCAAGCCUGAUCCAGCCAUGCCGCGUGAGUGAAGAAGGCCUUCGGGUUGUAAAGCUCUUUCGGCCGGGAAAAAAUCGCUUGGGUUAAUACCCUGAGUGGAUGAUGGUACCGGAAUAAGAAGCACCGGCUAACUACGUGCCAGCAGCCGCGGUAAUACGUAGGGUGCGAGCGUUAAUCGGAAUUACUGGGCGUAAAGCGUGCGCAGGCGGUUUUGUAAGACAGGCGUGAAAUCCCCGGGCUCAACCUGGGAACUGCGUUUGUGACUGCAAGGCUAGAGUAUGGCAGAGGGGGGUGGAAUUCCACGUGUAGCAGUGAAAUGCGUAGAGAUGUGGAGGAACACCAAUGGCGAAGGCAGCCCCCUGGGCCAAUACUGACGCUCAUGCACGAAAGCGUGGGGAGCAAACAGGAUUAGAUACCCUGGUAGUCCACGCCCUAAACGAUGUCAACUAGGUGUUGGGUGGGUAAAACCAUUUGGUACCGUAGCUAACGCGUGAAGUUGACCGCCUGGGGAGUACGGCCGCAAGGUUAAAACUCAAAGGAAUUGACGG
RNAcentral lists this ribosomal RNA (914 nucleotides) under uncultured bacterium. RNAcentral's name for it is "bacterial SSU rRNA". It matches the Rfam family "Bacterial small subunit ribosomal RNA", at positions 8 to 916 of the family's 1533-position model. The record is from RNAcentral.